AAAAAUCUUUUAGGUCUUUAUUCCUUACUAGCAUGCACUAAUUUUUGGCAUAUUUAAAUAUUAAAAAAUAGAAUUAAAAUAGGAUGUCAUAUAAUGCCGUAUUUUUUAAAAUAUGAAGUUAAAUUUUACCAGCAUAUUGACCCGCUAGUCUAUUUCAAGAUAUGCGGUAUCACCAUCCAUUACUGAUAAAGUUUUGUGAUGAUUGGGAGGCAUUCAUGUGAACAUGGAGUUGUUUCAGCUGAGAUUGAAUUGCGCCAAUGGUUUCUUCCAUUUUCUGGAAAGGUUUGGGAGGCAUCAAUAGAAAUGAAAGCAUCAAUAAUACAGUACUUACUUACUCUAAUGCAACGUGACCCAACUCGAGAAGGGAUCAAAUCUCCUAAUAAUUCUAUGGUAAAAAUAUAUAUAAAAGACACUGUUUAAUUCUCUAGCUCUUUUCAUUGAUUUUUUUUUCUUGGUUACUCUCUUUUCAUUGAUUUCAAUCCAUUACAUAGGACAAUUCAGUUAACAUAAAUUGAAGAGACCUGAAAUCUUAGAGAGACAGCAUAAAAAAUAAGAUUGAAUGUUGCUUAAUUGUUGUUGAAGUCUUUCAUCCAACAAGGCUGGUACCGUAUCAUGAAGCUUGAGAACCAUGUCCGCGAGUCUAGAAAUUUUUCUACUAAAAAGUUGCAAGAAAAUUUUACUUUGUCUAGUUUGAACUUCUAAACUAUUCUAUUCUAUUUUGUCUCAAUUUUCUUUUAACUUUUUUUUCAUAUGAUAAAUAUUCUCACUACCAGAUGCAUAUUUGCUACUAAUGACAAUGGAGAGAGGCCCCAAAAAUGAAGGUCAAAAUUUCAAACCAGAACGUCACAAAGUCCACACUCUUGUAAGGUGUCUUGUGCAAAACUAGACCCCCUCCUGCUGCAUUGCCACCGCCAAUAGUUAGGCAAUAUUCUCAUGUGGACUAUCUUUGAGCAAUGAACAUAGUAUGUUAUUUUUUGAAUUGGUGAUGUAAUUUAAUUUCUUCAUUACAACUCUAUUUGGUAUUGAUUCGUUGUGUGUGUUGUAAACCACCUUCUCAUGAACAAACAAGAAACAAGCUUAUGCACAAUUUCUAAACACACAAAAGUAGUAGAACUGAAGUAACAUACCUCCGCUUAGGUUGUUUUCAAUUUCAUGCUCGAAUGUUUUCAUUUUCUUCAUUACUUGGGUUUUGUUGGUCAGAG
RNAcentral lists this long non-coding RNA (1202 nucleotides) under Medicago truncatula (barrel medic). RNAcentral's name for it is "long non-coding RNA (MTRU_LNC006535)". Lineage: Eukaryota; Viridiplantae; Streptophyta; Magnoliopsida; Fabales; Fabaceae. The record is from RNAcentral.